This 460-nucleotide ribosomal RNA is filed under the name uncultured bacterium. Its description in RNAcentral is "partial 16S ribosomal RNA". It matches the Rfam family "Bacterial small subunit ribosomal RNA", at positions 338 to 795 of the family's 1533-position model. The record is from RNAcentral.
CCUACGGGGGGCAGCAGUGAGGAAUAUUGGUCAAUGGACGAGAGUCUGAACCAGCCAAGUAGCGUGAAGGAUGACUGCCCUAUGGGUUGUAAACUUCUUUUAUAUGGGAAUAAACUGUUCCACGUGUGGGCUUUUGUAUGUACCAUAUGAAUAAGGAUCGGCUAACUCCGUGCCAGCAGCCGCGGUAAUACGGAGGAUCCGAGCGUUAUCCGGAUUUAUUGGGUUUAAAGGGAGCGUAGGUGGAUUGUUAAGUCAGUUGUGAAAGUUUGCGGCUCAACCGUAAAAUUGCAGUUGAAACUGGCAGUCUUGAGUACAGUAGAGGUGGGCGGAAUUCGUGGUGUAGCGGUGAAAUGCUUAGAUAUCACGAAGAACUCCGAUUGCGAAGGCAGCUCACUGGACUGCAACUGACACUGAGGCUCGAAAGUGUGGGUAUCAAACAGGAUUAGAUACCCUUGUAGUC